CGAAAAGAAGAAAGCCACGAAAACGGAGAAUACAUCACCCACAAUUAAAUCAUCAGCACCAGAUGACACAACAAGCGUUAAGUGGGAAACCGUAUCACGUAAAAAGAUAACCAAAAAGAAAGUAGUGUCUGUAGUAAUAGGGAAUAAAGAAGAUGUUACAAAAUCUUCUAUUAAGGCUGCCCCCAAAAAAGGAUUUAUUUUUGUAUCACGCCUGGCGCCAAAUACAAAACCGACUGAAGUUUGCGAACUACUGAAAGGUGAAUUCCCGGAAGUCCAAUGUGAACAAGUGGAAACCAAAUAUCCUAUGUUCUACUCUGCUUUCAAAGUAACAAUUGACCUACACCGUUUCCAAGAUGCAAUGAAUCCACAAAUAUGGCCCAAUGGCAGCUAUGUUACGCGAUAUUUUCACCGAAGAAGCCGACAGAAAAAAUCCACUUAGCUGCCCAUAACGCCUAUGAGGACAACCCAGGUAAAAGGCUGAUGAGCGAAACAGACAACAGCCAUACAAGUAGGAAAACCGCACUAGGAGUCAACUGGCUAAACCUUUUUUAUCUAAAUAUACAGUCACUGCGGCGUAAAUGAACACUGGUUAACGGCAGCCGAGGUGGAGAUCUUAACACUACUUGACUAUAAGGUGGCCAGCAGCUUUUGUCGCAAAAAAGGGUAUGGUGGUGCUGCAAUAUUAAUAAGACCAAAUGUAAGGUAUUCGGAAUUAAAUUUAGCAUCCAUAUCUAAGCAAACGGUUGCUGAGGUUGCCGGCAUCUUUCUAACGGAGUACAGGGCAUAACGUUGGAUACAACUCUCUGCUGGGAAGCUCAUGUUGAUGUCUUAAGCAAGAAACUUGCAAAAACAAUUUACCUAUUACGUAAACUCAGUAGUAUAGUGUCACUUAACAUUAAAAAAUUAGUAUAUUUCAGCCUAUUCCAGAGCCAUUUUGCGUAUGCUCUUGCGACUUGGGGACAUACAACACAUCUUCCCAGAAUUUUCAAACUUCAGAGGAAAGCAAUUCGUAUAAUAUCUAAUGUGAACUAUAGAGAAGAUGUGAGGCAAUAUUACGUAGAACAUGGAAUCUUGACAGUUCCAUCGCUCUAUGUAUACCAAUGCUUAGUAAAUGUGAAAACGCGCAUUGAAAGCUACACGAAAAAUCGCGACCACCAUUGUUAUAACACCAGACAGGGUGAUGAUAUCUGCCUUGACUUUCGGAGAAUAAAUAAAAGUAGAAACUCCAUCAAUUACUAUGGUCCUCAGUUUUACAACUGCCUACCCGAUAAUAUUGCGUCACUACCAAUGCCCCAGUUUCUAAUAAAAAUUAAAACAUU
Molecule: long non-coding RNA, 1319 nt
Organism: Zophobas morio
Lineage: Eukaryota; Metazoa; Arthropoda; Insecta; Coleoptera; Tenebrionidae
Exons: 3
Source: RefSeq, a predicted model, not a curated record